CGUUGAUACUGGGAUGCUAGAAUGCGGAUGCCGUGGGAGGAAUGUGUGGUGUAGCGGUGAAAUGCAUAGAUAUCACACAGAACACCGAUUGCGAAGGCAUCUCACGAAUCCGCUAUUGACGCUGAGGCACGAAAGCGUGGGGAUCAAACAGGAUUAGAUACCCUGGUAGUCCACGCUGUAAACGAUGAUGACUAACCGUCGGCGAUACACAGUCGGUGGCCAAGCGAAAGCGAUAAGUCAUCCACCUGGGGAGUACGACCGCAAGGUUGAAACUCAAAGAAAUUGACGGGGGCCCGCACAAGCGGAGGAACAUGUGGUUUAAUUCGAUGAUACGCGAGGAACCUUACCCGGGCUCGAACGGCAGGGGAAUGAUCCAGAGAUGGAUCAGUCUUCGGACAUCUGUCGAGGUGCUGCAUGGUUGUCGUCAGCUCGUGCUGUGAAGUGUCGGCUUAAGUGCCAUAACGAGCGCAACCCUUGCCGUUAGUUGCCAUCAGGUUAUGCUGGGGACUCUAGCGGGACUGCCACCGCAAGGUGUGAGGAAGGGGGGGAUGACGUCAAAUCAGCACGGCCCUUACGUCCGGGGCGACACACGUGUUACAACGGCGAGUACAGAGAGAAGCUACCUGGCGACAGGAUGCAGAUCUCGAAAGCUCGUCCCAGUUCGGAUUGGAGUCUGCAACCCGACUCCAUGAAGUUGGAUUCGCUAGUAAUCGCGCAUCAGCCAUGGCGCGGUGAAUACGUUCCCGGGCCUUGUACACAC
RNAcentral lists this ribosomal RNA (760 nucleotides) under uncultured bacterium. RNAcentral describes it as "bacterial SSU rRNA". It matches the Rfam family "Bacterial small subunit ribosomal RNA", at positions 625 to 1390 of the family's 1533-position model. The record is from RNAcentral.